GGUGGUAUAGCGUAGUGGUCAAGCAGCCGGGCUAGCAUGCAGUAGUUGUGGGCUCAAUUCCCAGCUUCCACCG
Molecule: transfer RNA, 73 nt
Filed under: Alosa alosa (allis shad)
Lineage: Eukaryota; Metazoa; Chordata; Actinopteri; Clupeiformes; Clupeidae
Description: tRNA-OTHER
Source: RNAcentral